RNAcentral lists this transfer RNA (77 nucleotides) under Alphaproteobacteria bacterium. Its description in RNAcentral is "tRNA-Met". It matches the Rfam family "tRNA". From Rfam's summary of the family: Transfer RNA (tRNA) molecules are approximately 80 nucleotides in length. Their secondary structure includes four short double-helical elements and three loops (D, anti-codon, and T loops). The record is from RNAcentral. Lineage: Bacteria; Pseudomonadati; Pseudomonadota; Alphaproteobacteria. RNAcentral also lists the same sequence under 3 other names.
GGUCCUGUAGCUCAGUUGGUUAGAGCUCUCCACUCAUAAUGGAUAGGUCGCAGGUUCGAGUCCUGCCGGGACCACCA